Non-coding RNA from Callithrix jacchus (white-tufted-ear marmoset), 5940 nucleotides. The record is from RefSeq and is a predicted model, not a curated record. NCBI's taxonomy places the organism in Eukaryota, Metazoa, Chordata, Mammalia, Primates, Cebidae.
CUGGAGUUUGUGCCAGACACAAUGUCUGGCUUGCAGAUUGCAAUCCCAGGGAAGUAUCCAUCCCCAGGGAAGUUUCCAUCACUACAAAGGAAUCAAGGAGGAAGUCAAUCCCUGAGACAGGGUUUCACCAUGUUUGCCAGGCUGGCCUCGAACUCCUGCCGUCAAGUGAUCUGCCUGCCUCGGCCUCCCAAAGUACUGUGAUUACGAGGUGAGCCACCAUGCUCGGCCUGGAAGCGUCAUUUCUCAAACACAUUUCUAAAAUGUUUAAACUGUCAAGUGUCAUCUAUGUUCAAAAGGGCAACAGAAAAAAACAACUGAAUGUGCCUUCUGAUAAGCUGCUUUAUCUAGGGAUGCUCUAUUCUAUCCUGUUUCCUUCCUAGGUUAUUGAUCUAAGCCUUUGCUAAAACCAACUUCAUUUUGCCCUAUUCUGAAUAGAUUUCACUCUGUUGCCUUUGCGCUUUUCUUCCAAAAUUUAAAAUACACUUUUUUCUUUUGAAAUCAUUGUGUAAUUCUCCAGAGCACUCCCAAGGGUAAGUGUAGGGGACCCGGUCUUUCUGCUUUCAUUUUAAAUCCCAAAUUCCUUACCAUAGAAUAUCUGCCUCCUUAUAACCCAGUACUCUUCAUUUUCUCUUUCCAUUUUGUUCAGAAAGGAAUCUCCAGAGCAUGAAUAUUAUGUUUGUUUGUUUGUUUAUUUGAUUGAGACAGGGUCUGGCCUCAUCACACAGGCAGAAGUCCAGUGGUGGGGACAUGGAGCAAUGUUCACACCUGCAGUCUGAACCUCCUGGCCUCAAACAGUCAACUCAUCUGCCCACCUCAGCCUUCUGAGUACCUGGCAUGCCCCACACCUGGCCAAUUUUUUUUAAAUUUGUAGAUAUGGGGUCUUGCAAUGUUGCCCAGACUGGUCUCGAACUCCUAGGGUCAAGUGAUAUUCCCAUCUCAGCCUCCCAAAGCACUGAGAUUACAGGUGUGAGCCACCGUGCCUGGCUGAAUAUGUAAAACAUCACUAAAUUUAAAAUAGUGAAGUUGAAAUAUUAGUGGAGGGAGACUAUUACACAUGAACCGCCACAGAAUAUGUUGCUAGUUUUCUAUGCCACUUAGGUUUUCUUUCUGUUUCUAUUGAAACAAACACCCUCAAAAAGUGUCUGAUUUCAUUUUCUGUACGUGUGCCCUGUUAGACUCAGCAUUAGAAAAGAAAGGGGCAAGAGUGAAUAACCAAUCUAUUAUCCUAAUGUAACAGAUGAGGGAAUAGAUUUUGUGAGAGAACAAAAGAGUCCUGUAAAGUCACACAGCUAGUAACUGUCAAAGCCAAAACUGAAAUGAGGUCUCUAGAUUUCUACUUGAAUACGUUCCCUGUUAUUCCAAGCUGUUUGGGACUAUAGGGGUAAAGAAAUCUAAAGUUGGGGGAAAGAAGUCAAAUGAAAAACUGUCAAGAAAGGUUCUCUCUUUACCUGACAUGGUCAGAGAAGAAGAAACAUCAACUGUAGAUUCAAGGGAUGAAGAGACGAUCCUAGUGGAUGUCUGGGUGGCUGAAGCCAAGGAGUGAAUGUGUCCAGUAUGGAGGCCACCGGUCACACUGGUCACUGGCCACCUGCGAUGAUACAAAUUUAUAGGCUACCCCAAGAUUCUACCAGCUGGCAAUAGGCUUGGUGAGAGAAUGAUGUCACAGAGCAGGCAGUUUAAAGGUGUGCAAUAGCCAAUAGGGAGGCCAGAUUCUCAGGAAGAUGGGAUUGGCUGGCAGAGGUGGUAGGAAAGCUGAAACAGUACCAAGUGGCUGAGUUCCAGGGAGGUGACAUCCUGCAAGAUCAUCUCGGUGUUUCUUAUACAUGUUCACUUAUAUUAUUGACUAGUAUUUGUAUUUUAUAUGUCAUAUUUCAUAGUACAUAAUACUGUACAUUGAUAAUUGUAUAGUACGUACAAAGUACCCUGCAGAGAAAGGAAAGGGACAUCUCAGCUGAGCAGUUACAGUUGUUCUAAAAGCAUUUCAGUGAAUCUGAUUAAAGAAUUUACUGCUGCUUUUAAGGGCCAGAUGAAGAGAUUAAAGAGCCUUCUUUUGUACCUUGACUGAAGAGCUAACUUCAUUGACUGCCCCUGAGCUACUAUAGGGCAUGCUGUUUCUUUGCUGUUCCACUUGUAGCAGAAUUCAACGUUCUUCUAACAGGUACAGAUCUUUGUGCUUGAGACUGUGUGGAAACCUUGGACUUGAGCUCCACUUUUGGUUAUUUUUGGUAUUUGCUAAAACCUAACUACAUUCUUUCCACUUCUAGCAUGAUACCUGCUAUGUGAUAGAACCCAGUAAAAGUUUAGCUGUGAUGGGAGUGGAUGUUUGUGCAUUAUUUUUGGAGGAUAAUUAGGUAGUAUCUUUCAGAAUUUUAAGUUUGUAUGUUUUCUAUUCUAGACAUUCUACUUCUAGGAAUUUAGAUAUAGCUGUAUAUGUGUAUAAGGAUGUUCACAUUGCAGCAUUUUCUGUAACAAGAUUUCAAAAGAACCUGAAAACAACAAAAGGUCCAUUAACAUUGAACUGGCUGAAUACAUUAUGGUACUUUUAAUUACGUUACUCGUAAUCCAAUAAAUUCCCUAUGACCACUAAAAAAUAGAAUGUAAGUAUGUAUAAAUUGACUAGGAAAAUCAGUGUUCGAGAUACAGUGUAGAAUAUGUUUAGUCGCUCCUUUAGUAUAAAAAUAGAGGACAUACAUAUGUGUGAAAGUAAAUAUUUAUACACAAUGUGCAAAAUGUGAGUGUAAGCACUUGUAAAUAUCUAGAACACACCAGGACUGGGAGGGGUGCUCGGGGGAGGUACAGGGCAGGGACAGAGGGACUUCCCUGUGCCACACUGAAUUCUGAAGGGUGCAUACACGCCCUCAUUCACCUGUGGUAACCGGCCUCUGGCUAAAGAGGGCGCUGUAACCACCAAAGUCUUCUGUACAAAUCAAGCCUCUCAGUAAGUCUACGCAGUUACGCCAUCAGGACUAACAUGGCUAAUAGUGUGAUGCCCGAGCUCUGCGUGGGUGGCUUCCAAGUCUCUUUAGGUCUGGGGUCUUAUCCUGGCACUGAGGGUGCCGGACUGGCGCUUUUGGCCAGCUUGGCAUUGGGUGGGCGGCUUUUGGAACCCACAGGAGCCAAUGGCACCAUCCUCGCUGUGGUUGGGGUCAGGGACGCGACUUUCCUGGACGCUCCUGGUCCAAGAAGAAGAGCGGAAACCACAUCCCCAAAAGGUAAUAUGUCUUGGGCCCUUGGCAUGGCCUUUCCAGCUCAUGGCUUCUGGGUAUGGGCUUCAUCUUUUGUGGUCUCUGCGUCUCACUUUUGCUGUCACAAGCUUGGCUUGUCCACCCCUUGCUUUGAGGCUUUGACCCUCUUCGCCACCUGCUGAAAGGGGCAAUGUCUGUGAUGUCCUGUCAUUUCUCCUUAUUCUUGUAAAAGCGAGGUUCUGGCCAGUGCUCUUCAGUGAAAUACGGAAGAAUUGCUUUAAGGCAGGACUGUUACUUUUGGGGACACUCCUUAAUUCCCAAAAUAGAACCUCCUCAAUUCCUUGUUACUUGGCACGGAUAGUAUAAUGAUUUGGGUUAGGAACCCAGCUGUAGUAGUGCCCUGAGAUCUUACAUAGAAAGUUCGUUUGUAUUGUUUUCAGAAAUCACAAAGGGCAUACGCUGUUAGGUCCUAACAGGCCUCAUUUGAGAGAUGUUCCUUUAUACGUAGAAAUGAUUAAUUUUGAGACUUUGCACGUAUGUGCAGAGAACUGUUUUUACUCCUUGAGACCAUCCUCCACCAUCUCAUACCUCAGUAAAUCCUCUACAUAUUAUGUCCUAUCUUUUGACUGUCACCUUCUGUCAGCCCCCUAAUACAGGUCUUGCCUGACCUGUUUCAAUUGGGUUCUAAUUACUGCAUCUCCUGUUUGUUUUCUUAUGGUCCAUUGUGGUUUUUGUUUGUUUGUUUUUUGAGACAGAGUUUUGCUCUUGUCCCUCAGGCUGGAUUGCAAUGGCCUGAUCUCUGCUCACCCCAAGCUCCACCUCCCCAGUUCAAGCAAUUUUCCUGUCUCAGACUCCCAAGUUCAUGGGAUAAUAGUUGUCCGCCACCACACCCAGCUAACUUUUUUGUAUUUUUAGUGGAGAUGGUGUUUCACCAUGUGGGUCAGGCCUGUCUAGAACUCCUGACCUCGGCUGAUCCACCCCUGUGGGCCUCCCAAAGUGCUGACAUUACAGGUGUGAGUCACUGUACCUUGCCCAAACUGUUCUUAACAACAAUAACAAAUCUUUUUUUUUUUUUUUUUUUUUUUGAGACAGGGUCUUGCUGUGUCACCAAAGCUAGAGUGCAGUGGCAAAAUCAUAGCUCACUGCAACUCAGCCUCCCAGACUUUUUUGAUCCUUCCACCUCAGCCUUCCUGGUUAGCUGAGUCUACAGGCGUGCACCACCAUGCCCAGCUAAUUUUUAUAUUUUGUAUUUUUUUUUUUUUGUAAAGGUGGGGUUUUGCCAUGUUGCCUAGGCUGUUCUUUAACUCCUGGUCUUAAGCAAUUCACCUGCCUCUGCCUCUUAAAAUUCGGGGCAUACAGGCAUGAGCCACUGCACCUGGCCAAGAAGAAAUCUAUUUAACAGGUAAUUACUAAAAAUUGAAAUAGAAUUGGAAUUGGAAUAUUGCUCAUGAGCACUGCUCUUAACAUUGUUUUAAGAGUAAAAAAGGGCUGGACAUGGUGGCUCACACCUGUAAUCCCCACACUUUGGGAGGCUUAAGUAGGCUUGAUCAGUUGAGGUCAGGAGUUCAAGACCAGCUUAGCCAACAUGAAGAAACCCUGCCUCUACUAAAAAUUUAAAAAUUAGCUGAGCAUGGUGGCAGGCACCUGUAAUCCUAGCUACUUGGGAUGCUGAGGCACAAGAAUGGCUUAAACUAGGAGGUGGAGGUUGUAGUGAGCAGAGAUUAUGCCACUGCACUCCAGCCAGGCGACAGAGUGGGACUCUGUCUUAAAAUCAAUAAAUAAAAUUUAAAAAAAAUUUUUUUAAGGGUAAAAAUGAACUCCUUUUUGUCUGUAGUAUGAGGCUGCACAUGAUCUGGGAUCCUCUCUCCUUCUCCAGCCCCAUCUCUUGCUUGUCCUCACUUUCUGUGCUUCUUAUAUACUGAAUUAACCCUAGUUAAUUUUUUUUUUUUUUUUUUUUGUUUUUGUUUUUGAGAUGGAGUUCUGCUCUUGUUGCCCAGGCUGGAGUGCAAUGGUGUGAUCUCGGCUCACUGCAACCUCUGCCUCCCAGGUUCAGGUGUUUCUCCUGCCUCAGCCUCCUCAGUAGCUGGGAUUAUAGGCAUGUGCCACCAUGCCUGGCUAAUUUUUGUAGUUGUUGUUGUUGUUGUUAUUGGUAGAGAUGGGUUUCUCUGUGUUGCUCAAGCUGGUCUUGAACUUCCAACCUCGGGUGGUUUUCCCACCUUGAGGCGUGAGCCACUGCUCAUGGCCAUUAAUUCUGACUCAUUCUGCUUUUCACUGUAAUUCUUAGCAUUAUUAAGUGAAGUUCACAGUCCUUCUCCUAGCAGGUUUUCUCUUAAACUAUGAACUUGAGGUUUCAUAGUAAUUGAACUUGAUGACAUCAGUUGUAUGAAAACUAAAACCAUGAAGUGAAAUAAUAGAAUUUGAAUUAUUUCAGUGAAUAUGUUUGUGUUAAUGGCACUUUAGUAUCUGGUACUCGGCUAAGUUUUAUCAGGGAUAUAGAAAUUCUGGGUAUCUCUUUUUUAUAUAGGCCUUAUUUGAUAGUCACUUUGUGCUGUUUUGUUGCUGUGUUUCCAUUUUGAUGAUGGGAAACGGGAGAAAGACAGUAUAGGUCGUUACUUGGUGGGGUUGAAUAAGUGGAGUGGCGAAAUGCAAAGCAGAGAGAAGAGAGGACAUGUGAUGUGGGCUGUGAUUCUCAUUUUCAAGAAGUCUUAUUCUGUGCAAGGAGACAAGGCACAAUUUGGCUAACAAAAAAUAUAUG